Molecule: long non-coding RNA, 3780 nt
Organism: Bubalus bubalis (water buffalo)
Lineage: Eukaryota; Metazoa; Chordata; Mammalia; Artiodactyla; Bovidae
Exons: 3
Source: RefSeq, a predicted model, not a curated record
GGAGCACACCCAGGAAGCUGGUGGCCUGGUUCCAUGGGCUGGAUGCUCAGGAUCAGGUGGGAAGGACAGGGCGUGAGAGUGGGAUUUUUCUGAAAAUACUUUCAUGUUAUUCUGACUCUUUUCAAGCAUAUGACUUAUUUGGGGGAGAACACAGAUGUCCUUGGACCUUAGACUGUUCUGUGUUCUGUAGCAGAGGGCACUCUGCCGAUGUCACUAAGGUCAUGGCAGGCCAUGCAGGCUCAGCGUGUAGGUCUGCAGUCACAGGCCUGCUGAGAAAACACUGCUCUUUUUUUUUUUUUUUAAGAUUUAUUUAUUUUUAAUUUUUGGCCACACCUUGCAGCAUGUGAGAUCUCAGUUCCCUGACCAGGGAUUGAACCCACAACCCCUGCAUUAGAAGGCUGAGUCUUAACCACUGGACCACCAGGGAAGUCCUGAAAACACCGUCCUUGAUUGCACACAAGGCCACCUGGUGAGCCGAGCGUGCCAGCAAGGAUCCCUGCAGAAUGUUUUUAAACACCGUAAAGGGGUUGUAUGCUCAAGAGCAGAUCCUAAAGGGCUGGGCAAACCUGGGCCAGGGUGACCGACACACAGCUGACCCUGGGCAGCGAGGACUCAGGUGAGUACACAGCCUCCCCAAGUGCUGGCAGGAGGAGAUGGAAGAGCAGCCAGCAGACACAGGACAGCCUCUGGGGUUAAAUAAAUCAUGGGGCGUAUGCUCACCCACGGCCCAGGGCCCAGGCCUCUGCUGUAUCUUAUAAACAAAUAGGCGAUGGUCCACAUGGCCUCCCCUGCCUCCACUUGUAGCUGCCUUUCCGUUCUCUGCCUGCUCCUGCCUCCCUGUCUUUCCCCAGGACUUGUUUGGGUUCACGUCUCUGUGGCCACCCCGAGCUCCAAGUCACAGCUUCCUGGCGGGGGCCCAGGAGACGCCUAAGCUGAAGGUAGUGAUAACUCAGCGGGUGGGCUGCCUGGCGCCUCGCCUGGCAGAGACCUGGGCCCUGGGAGGGCAUUCCUAAGACCCCCUUAGCCACAGUGUGAGCUGACACGCCAGGGUACCUGGGUGCAACGUGGGGGUGCAGCGUGAGCGAGUAGGGGGACGUGGGAGGCCUGGAGAGGGGAGGACUCGGAUGGACACACAGGCAUUUUGUCUGCAGGGGGAAACCCAGGACACAGGUGGACCACAGCUCCUCCGAGAACCCUGCCCUCCAGGAACCCCGCCCGCGGGCACAGGCCAGAGGCCAUGGGGGAUUUCCAGAAAGGGGGCACUGAAUCUGUGACACUUCCUUCUGAGGGUCUCAGGCUCUCUCUCUGCAGGAGCUUGCUGGCACUGCCAUGACCGAAUACCAAAUGGGGGUGGGGGAGGUGUGUUCCAUGAUGGAGAUGCAUUCCUCCCAGUUCCAGAGGCCGGAAGUCCAAGGUCAGGGUGUCAGAGGUUUGGUUCCUCCCUCCACGGCUUGGAGGCAGCCACCUUCUCGCUGUGUCCUCACCUGAACCGCUGGUCUCUCUGUGUCUAAAUGUUCUCUUCCUGUAAGGACGCCGGCCAGAUUGGAUCAGGACUACCCCCAGCAGCCUCACGUACACUUAAUCCCUCUCUGAAGGCCCUGCUCCACGUACAGCCCCUGACUCCACAUACAGGAGACUCCCAUCUCCAUGUACAGCCCCAUCUUGGGUCUCAGGGUACAAAUCUGGGGACAUGACCCAGCCUGGAGAUGACACUAUCUGGAAUUCCAGCCCCAAACCUCUUCACUAACUGAAGGAGGUAAAUGGGAUGAGGAGACAGAAGUAUCGACUGAGUUUGGAAUGAAGCACCCCAGGCUUCCAGGAAGGGCUAUCUCGUCCUCUGCUUACAGAAAGGGUCCCGUCCACGUGAUGAACCUGGGCCCCUGGCAGGGCAGAUGUGUCUGGUCUGAGCAGGAGGAGCUUCCUGGGAGUGGACGGUGGUCAGACACCUGGACCCUGGGCCUGAGGGAACUCAGGUUGUUGCUGGGGGCGGAGAGGCAGGGGAGGAACGAAUGGACAAAUUCCUUGAAAGCAACAGAAGCCUCCCGGCCAUGAGUGACCCAGUUCCACUGGUGGCUGGACUUCAGGUGCUGCUGGAACCCGAAGGAGGUGGGCCACGAGGCCGGGGCUGAAGCAGCCAGGAGUCUGCAGCUGCUGCUCCUGCUAUAGGUCUUUCUGUUCAAAACAGUGAAAGCAGUCAGAAGGCCUGUCACACAGACGACUCAAGAUCUCAGAGUUUCAUUUCAAGUUUCUAAAACCUCCAGACAACUGCCGGGCUUGCUCUGCUCACCAUCGUCCCCCACUCCCCAAUAACAGGUGUAAACUGACAUUUUCCACCCCCAGUGUGGAGGAGAAAAGGGACUCCCUGCCACCCUGUCUUGUCUGCAGGACUCCAGAGCUCAUCCCUGCAGCCUACCCCAGCCCAGCCUGCCCCUGGCUUUUUUAGGGGCCCCGGGCUCCCUCCUGGCCACACUGGCUGUGGUCCACAGGAUGAGGGCAGAGGGGAAGGAAGAGGCUACAGGAUUCAGGAAGGACAAAUGGAAUCGGACAGAUGGACGAGAACUCGGGGAACUGAGGACCAGCCAGGUGGGCUGACACAAGCUUCUUUCUCCCCUGCAGUUUCCAGGUCAAGGUCUGACCUGGCCUGGUUCCCCCGCCUGCCUUCAACCUCGCAUACCCCAUACUGCCCUCUGGAAGGCCCCUGUGUUUACUCCCAGUCACAAAGCCCCUCCUGGGUCCCUAGGUGUUCUUGGGCCCCUUGAUCAGGGUGGGGCCUCCCUCUUUGUGGCUGGGAGUCCAGGGCAGCAAGCUGGCCCUGGCAGGGGCCAAGGUGCUUUCAUUUCAGGAGCUGCACAGUGAAUACAGACCUGCCUGAACCAAGAUUAUAAUUCACCUUCACUGGGAAGGGCACCAUCACUUCUGCAGACAUCUAUCUGGCUUUAACAGGAGCAGAAGGUAUCCAUUAGCCCUUCUUGAAUUUCCAAAGAAAAGGAGCCUAAAUCUGACUUCCCAGGAAACACCUUCAGCUCGCGCCCUUCCUCAGCCAUACCCACAACACCCAAGGCCCCACAAGGUCCACAUCUAAACCUCUCGGUAAUGAAACUCGGGCUGUAAUCUAGAGAGCCUCCGGACCCCUAGGGGGUGGGGGAGCCCCCUCCUUGGGCACAGUGGAGCUUAGUGAUGGAGUUCUUGAGAGCGGGCAGAGGAAGGGGGCUCCCACUCUACAAGAUGAGAUCUCCCAGUGAUAAAUGUAUAGUCCCCAAGGACUUCAUUGUGAGGCUAUGUCACAUAUCAUCUCAUUUAAUCCUCCAGGAGCUAUUCCCAUCGCAGAUAUGAGGAAACCAAGGAGCUGACCCAAAGGGUAAUGUGCCCAGGGUCAUAGGGCUGGCCAAAGGAAGGGGCCAGGUGACCCCAUGGCCCUCCGGUCACCACCAGGCUAUCCUACCUCCCCCAUUGAUAGAUGUCAACUCUGAGGAGUUGGUGGACCACCAGCAAGAGUGACCUUGGCAACCAGGGAAGGUUGUCCUGAUCUGCUGUCAAGAGCACCCAGAGCAGGGACCUCGUGACAGUGGCUCUGGGGACGAUGCUCUUCGUUACCAUGGUUGACCUGCUGGCCCUCCACCAACUUCUGCUUGACUCCUUUGGUUUUGUACAGAGGUAAUACCUUCAGGGAUUUCUUUGGAAGGAAUGAUGCUAAAGCUGAAACUCCAGUACUUUGGCCACCUCACGUGAAGAGUUGACUCAUUGGAAAAGACUCUGAUGCUGGGAUGGAUUGGGGGCAGG